UGUAAGCGUAUACCAGAGUUGUUGCAGUUAAAACGCUCGUAGUCGGAAUUUGGCAGUUCCGGAAGUGUGCACGUCGUGUGCGCACUUUGCGGGGACUGCUUUUGUGGUCUUGCGUAGGAUGAGGCACUUUCAUUAGUGAACGUCCUCACGCAACCACUCUUUACUGUGAGAAAAUCAGAGUGCUCAAAGCAGGCAUUUGCCGUGAAUGUAUUAGCAUGGAAUAAUAGAAUAGGACUCGGUUCUAUUUUGUUGGUUUGUUGGGACUGAGUAAUGAUUAAGAGGGACAGUUGGGGGCAUUUGUAUUCCGGCGCUAGAGGUGAAAUUCUUAGAUUGCCGGAAGACAAACUGCUGCGAAAGCGUCUGCCAAGGAUGUUUUCAUUGA
RNAcentral lists this ribosomal RNA (382 nucleotides) under uncultured eukaryote. RNAcentral describes it as "partial 18S ribosomal RNA". It matches the Rfam family "Eukaryotic small subunit ribosomal RNA", at positions 592 to 976 of the family's 1831-position model. The record is from RNAcentral.